AUGGCUCAGAACGAACGCUGGCGGCGUGCUUAACACAUGCAAGUCGAACGCGAAAGGGACUUCGGUCCUGAGUAAAGUGGCGCACGGGUGAGUAACGCGUAGAUAACCUGUCUUCAUGUCUGGAAUAAUACGCCAAAGGGGUACUAAUACCGGAUAUUCUUGCUUUUCAUAAGUUAUGCAAGCAAAGGUGGCCUCUGCAUAUGCUACUGCAUGAAGAGGGGUCUGCGUACCAUUAGCUAGUAGGUGGGGUAAUGGCCUACCUAGGCGACGAUGGUUAGCGGGUCUGAGAGGAUGAUCCGCCACACUGGCACUGGAACACGGGCCAGACUCCUACGGGAGGCAGCAGUGAGGAAUAUUGCGCAAUGGGGGAAACCCUGACGCAGCGACGCCGCGUGAGUGAGGAAGGCCUUCGGGUCGUAAAGCUCUGUCAAGAGGAAAGAAGUGUACAAUGGCUAAUACCUGUUGUAUUUGACGGUACCUCUAAAGGAAGCACCGGCUAACUCCGUGCCAGCCGCGGC
Molecule: ribosomal RNA, 518 nt
Filed under: uncultured bacterium
Lineage: Bacteria
Description: bacterial SSU rRNA
Rfam family: Bacterial small subunit ribosomal RNA
Source: RNAcentral